UAAGUUAAUAAGGGCGCACGGUGGAUGCCUUGGCACUAGGAGCCGACGAAGGACGUGACAAACGACGAUAUGCCUUGGGUAGCUGUAAGUAAGCGAUGAUCCAGGGAUUUCCGAAUGGGGGAACCCAACAGGUAAUACCUGUUACCUACAUCUGUUAAGGAUGUGAGGAGGAAGACGCAGUGAACUGAAACAUCUAAGUAGCUGCAGGAAGAGAAAGCAAAAGCGAUUGCCUUAGUAGCGGCGAGCGAAACGGCAGAAGGGCAAACCGAAGAGUUUACUCUUCGGGGUUGUAGGACUGCAAUGUGGACUCAAAGAUUAUAGAAGAAUGAUUUGGGAAGAUCAGCCAAAGAGAGUAAUAGCCUCGUAUUUAAAAUAGUCUUUGUACUUAGCAGUAUCCUGAGUACGGCGGGACACGUGAAAUCCCGUCGGAAUCUGGGAGGACCAUCUCCCAACCCUAAAUACUCCCUAGUGACCGAUAGUGAACCAGUACCGUGAGGGAAAGGUGAAAAGCACCCCGGGAGGGGAGUGAAAUAGAACCUGAAACCGUGUGCCUACAACAAGUUCGAGCCCGUUAAUGGGUGAGAGCGUGCCUUUUGUAGAAUGAACCGGCGAGUUACGUUAUGAUGCGAGGUUAAGUUGAAGAGACGGAGCCGUAGGGAAACCGAGUCUGAAUAGGGCGCCUUAGUAUCAUGACGUAGACCCGAAACCAUGUGACCUACCCAUGAGCAGGUUGAAGGUGCGGUAAGACGCACUGGAGGACCGAACCAGGGCACGUUGAAAAGUGCUUGGAUGACUUGUGGGUAGCGGAGAAAUUCCAAACGAACUUGGAGAUAGCUGGUUCUCUCCGAAAUAGCUUUAGGGCUAGCGUCGACAUUAGAGAUUCUUGGAGGUAGAGCACUGUUUGGGUGAGGGGUCCAUCCCGGAUUACCAAUCUCAGAUAAACUCCGAAUGCCAAUGAAUUAUGGUCGGCAGUCAGACUGCGAGUGCUAAGAUCCGUAGUCGAAAGGGAAACAGCCCAGACCACCAGCUAAGGUCCCAAAAUAAUUGUUAAGUGGAAAAGGAUGUGGGGUUGCACAGACAACUAGGAUGUUAGCUUAGAAGCAGCUAUUCAUUCAAAGAGUGCGUAAUAGCUCACUAGUCGAGUGACCCUGCGCCGAAAAUGUACCGGGGCUAAAACAAUUUACCGAAGCUGUGGAUACCUUUAUAGGUAUGGUAGGAGAGCGUUCUAUGUGUGAUGAAGGUAUACCGUGAGGAGUGCUGGAACGCAUAGAAGUGAGAAUGCCGGUAUGAGUAGCGAAAGACAGGUGAGAAUCCUGUCCACCGUAAGACUAAGGUUUCCAGGGGAAGGCUCGUCCGCCCUGGGUUAGUCGGGACCUAAGGAGAGACCGAAAGGUGUAUCCGAUGGACAACAGGUUGAUAUUCCUGUACUAGAGUAUGUAGUGAUGGAGGGACGCAGUAGGCUAACUAAAGCAGACGAUUGGAAGAGUCUGUCUAAGCAGUGAGGUGUGAAUUGAGUCAAAUGCUUAAUUCUAUAACAUUGAGCUGUGAUGGGGAGCGAAGUUUAGUAGCGAAGUUAGUGACGUCACACUGCCAAGAAAAGCUUCUAGCGUUUAAACAUACUCUACCCGUACCGCAAACCGACACAGGUAGUCGAGGCGAGUAGCCUCAGGUGAGCGAGAGAACUCUCGUUAAGGAACUCGGCAAAAUGACCCCGUAACUUCGGGAGAAGGGGUGCUGACUUAAAGUCAGCCGCAGUGAAUAGGCCCAAGCAACUGUUUAUCAAAAACACAGCUCUCUGCUAAAUCGUAAGAUGAUGUAUAGGGGGUGACGCCUGCCCGGUGCUGGAAGGUUAAGAGGAGUGCUUAGCGUAAGCGAAGGUAUGAAUUGAAGCCCCAGUAAACGGCGGCCGUAACUAUAACGGUCCUAAGGUAGCGAAAUUCCUUGUCGGGUAAGUUCCGACCCGCACGAAAGGCGUAAUGAUUUGGGCACUGUCUCAACGAGAGACUCGGUGAAAUUUUAGUACCUGUGAAGAUGCAGGUUACCCGCGACAGGACGGAAAGACCCCAUGGAGCUUUACUGCAGUUUGAUAUUGAGUGUCUGUACCACAUGUACAGGAUAGGUAGGAGUCUAAGAGAUCGGGACGCCAGUUUCGAAGGAGACGCUGUUGGGAUACUACCCUUGUGUUAUGGCCACUCUAACCCAGAUAGGUGAUCCCUAUCGGAGACAGUGUCUGACGGGCAGUUUGACUGGGGCGGUCGCCUCCUAAAAGGUAACGGAGGCGCCCAAAGGUUCCCUCAGAAUGGUUGGAAAUCAUUCGCAGAGUGUAAAGGUAUAAGGGAGCUUGACUGCGAGAGCUACAACUCGAGCAGGGACGAAAGUCGGGCUUAGUGAUCCGGUGGUUCCGUAUGGAAGGGCCAUCGCUCAACGGAUAAAAGCUACCCUGGGGAUAACAGGCUUAUCUCCCCCAAGAGUUCACAUCGACGGGGAGGUUUGGCACCUCGAUGUCGGCUCGUCGCAUCCUGGGGCUGUAGUCGGUCCCAAGGGUUGGGCUGUUCGCCCAUUAAAGCGGCACGCGAGCUGGGUUCAGAACGUCGUGAGACAGUUCGGUCCCUAUCCGUCGCGGGCGUAGGAAAUUUGAGAGGAUCUGCUCCUAGUACGAGAGGACCAGAGUGGACUUACCGCUGGUGUACCAGUUGUCUUGCCAAAGGCAUCGCUGGGUAGCUAUGUAGGGAAGGGAUAAACGCUGAAAGCAUCUAAGUGUGAAACCCACCUCAAGAUGAGAUUUCCCAUGAUUAUAUAUCAGUAAGAGCCCUGAGAGAUGAUCAGGUAGAUAGGUUAGAAGUGGAAGUGUGGCGACACAUGUAGCGGACUAAUACUAAUAGCUCGAGGACUUAUCCA
RNAcentral lists this ribosomal RNA (2898 nucleotides) under Streptococcus pneumoniae GA02254. Its description in RNAcentral is "bacterial LSU rRNA". It matches the Rfam family "Bacterial large subunit ribosomal RNA". The record is from RNAcentral. RNAcentral also lists the same sequence under 9 other names. Lineage: Bacteria; Bacillati; Bacillota; Bacilli; Lactobacillales; Streptococcaceae.